CUGAUAACAUGCAUUAGUAGCAAUAUUAAAUAAGGUAAAAUAACUCCAGUGACAUCCUAGUUACAUGCUUGGGGUGGGUUUUUGGUUUCGUUUUAAAGUAUUUAUGAGGGAUACUUUCAUGCAUUUUCCAUGAAACUAAUUUUUCUCUUUCUUUUUUUAGCUUCAGCUUUAGCUGCAGCUGCCUCUGUUCAGCCACUUGCAACACAAUGUUUCCAACUCUCUAACAUGUUUAACCCUCAAACAGAAGAAGAAGUUGGAUGGGAUACCGAGAUUAAGGAUGAUGUGAUUGAAGAAUGUAAUAAACAUGGAGGAGUUAUUCAUAUUUAUGUUGACAAAAAUUCAGCUCAGGGCAAUGUGUAUGUGAAGUGCCCAUCAAUUGCUGCAGCUAUUGCUGCUGUCAAUGCAUUGCAUGGCAGGUGGUUUGCUGGUAAAAUGAUAACAGCAGCAUAUGUACCUCUUCCAACUUACCACAACCUGUUUCCUGAUUCUAUGACAGCAACACAACUACUGGUUCCAAGUAGACGAUGAAGGAAGAUAUAGUCCCUUAUGUAUAUAGCUUUUUUUCUUUCUUGAGAAUUCAUCUUGAGUUAUCUUUUAUUUAGAUAAAAAUAAAGAGGCAAGGAUCUACUGUC
RNAcentral lists this small RNA (632 nucleotides) under Pan troglodytes (chimpanzee). RNAcentral describes it as "retained intron". Lineage: Eukaryota; Metazoa; Chordata; Mammalia; Primates; Hominidae. The record is from RNAcentral.